This 497-nucleotide ribosomal RNA is filed under the name uncultured bacterium. RNAcentral describes it as "partial 16S ribosomal RNA". It matches the Rfam family "Bacterial small subunit ribosomal RNA", at positions 28 to 507 of the family's 1533-position model. The record is from RNAcentral.
GAUGAACGCUGGCGGCGUGCCUAAUACAUGCAAGUCGAGCGAACGGACGAGAAGCUUGCUUCUCUGAUGUUAGCGGCGGACGGGUGAGUAACACGUGGAUAACCUACCUAUAAGACUGGGGUAACUUCGGGAAACCGUAGCUAAUACCGGAUAAUAUUUUGAACCGCAUGGUUCAAAAGUGAAAGACGGUCUUGCUGUCACUUAUAGAUGGAUCCGCGCUGCAUUAGCUAGUUGGUAAGGUGACGGCUUACCAAGGCAACGAUGCAUAGCCGACCUGAGAGGGUGAUCGGCCACACUGGAACUGAGACACGGUCCAGACUCCUACGGGAGGCAGCAGUAGGGAAUCUUCCGCAAUGGGCGAAAGCCUGACGGAGCAACGCCGCGUGAGUGAUGAAGGUCUUCGGAUCGUAAAACUCUGUUAUUAGGGAAGAACAUAUGUGUAAGUAACUGUGCACAUCUUGACGGUACCUAAUCAGAAAGCCACGGCUAACUACGUG